GACGAACGCUGGCGGCGUGCUUAACACAUGCAAGUCGAACGGAAAGGCCCUGCUUUUGUGGGGUGCUCGAGUGGCGAACGGGUGAGUAACACGUGAGUAACCUGCCCUUGACUUUGGGAUAACUUCAGGAAACUGGGGCUAAUACCGGAUAGGAGCUCCCGCUGCAUGGUGGGGGUUGGAAAGUUUCGGCGGUCGGGGAUGGACUCGCGGCUUAUCAGCUUGUUGGUGGGGUAGUGGCUUACCAAGGCUUUGACGGGUAGCCGGCCUGAGAGGGUGACCGGGCACAUUGGGACUGAGAUACGGCCCAGACUCCUACAGGGGGCAACAGUGGGGAAUAUUGCACAGUGGGCGGAAGCCUGAUGCAGCAACGCCGCGUGCGGGAUGACGGCCUGCGGGUUGUAAACCGCUUUCGCCUGUGACGAAGCGUGAGUGACGGUAAUGGGUAAAGAAGCACCGGCUAACUACGUG
Molecule: ribosomal RNA, 468 nt
Filed under: uncultured bacterium
Lineage: Bacteria
Description: partial 16S ribosomal RNA
Rfam family: Bacterial small subunit ribosomal RNA
Source: RNAcentral